GACGAACGCUGGCGGCGUGCUUAACACAUGCAAGUCGAACGGAAAGGCCUCUUUCGGGGGGUACUCGAGUGGCGAACGGGUGAGUAACACGUGAGUAACCUGCCCUUGACUUUGGGAUAACUUCAGGAAACUGGGGCUAAUACCGGAUAGGAGCUCCUGCUGCAUGGUGGGGGUUGGAAAGUUUCGGCGGUUGGGGAUGGACUCGCGGCUUAUCAGCUUGUUGGUGGGGUAGUGGCUUACCAAGGCUUUGACGGGUAGCCGGCCUGAGAGGGUGACCGGCCACAUUGGGACUGAGAUACGGCCCAGACUCCUACGGGAGGCAGCGGUGGGGAAUAUUGCACAAUGGGUGGAAGCCUGAUGCAGCAACGCCGUGUGCGGGAUGACGGCCUUCGGGUUGUAAACCGCUUUCGCUCAUGACGAAGCUUUGUGUGACGGUAGUGGGUAAAGAGGCACCGGCUAACUACGUG
RNAcentral lists this ribosomal RNA (467 nucleotides) under uncultured bacterium. Its description in RNAcentral is "partial 16S ribosomal RNA". It matches the Rfam family "Bacterial small subunit ribosomal RNA", at positions 28 to 507 of the family's 1533-position model. The record is from RNAcentral.